AGCACUUCCGUUAGAAUGACCCGGCCUGAAGUAGCGGCGGAACGGAAGUCGCUUGUGUAUGAGCGCAGCGGCGGACCUGUGAGGGAACCCGACUUGCUGGCAGAACUUACGCUGCGGCACCCCGGGCACUGUUGCUGCUGCGACCGUGGGCUGUUUAGUGCCAUGCACCCUUUACAGUGUGUCCUCCAAGUGCCGAGGUCUCUGGGGUGGGGACCAUUGGCCUCCGUGUCUUGGCUGUCACUGAGGAUGUGCAGGGUACACAGCAGUCUCUCUAGUACCAUGUGUCCCAGUCCAGAGAGGCAGGAGGAUGGAGCUCAGAAGGAUUUCAGCUCCAGGCUGGCCACUGGACCGACUUUUCAACAUUUUUUAAAAAGUGCCUCAGCUCCUCAGGAGAAGCUGUCUACAGAAGUGGAAGACCCACCUCCCUAUCUCACGAUGGAUGAACUUCUUGGAAGGCAGAGAAAAGUCUACCUCGAGACCUAUGGCUGCCAGAUGAAUGUGAAUGACACAGAGAUAGCCUGGUCCAUCUUACAGAAGAGUGGCUACCUGCGGACCAGUAACCUCCAAGAGGCAGAUGUGAUUCUCCUUGUCACGUGCUCUAUCAGGGAGAAGGCUGAGCAGACCAUCUGGAACCGUUUACAUCAGCUUAAAGCCUUGAAGACAAGGCGGCCCCGCUCCCGGGUUCCUCUGAGGAUUGGAAUUCUAGGCUGCAUGGCUGAGAGGUUGAAGGAGGAGAUUCUCAACAGAGAGAAAAUGGUAGAUAUUUUGGCUGGUCCUGAUGCCUACCGGGACCUUCCCCGGCUGCUGGCUGUUGCUGAGUCGGGCCAGCAAGCUGCCAACGUGCUGCUCUCUCUGGACGAGACCUAUGCUGAUGUCAUGCCAGUCCAGACAAGCGCCAGUGCCACGUCUGCCUUUGUGUCGAUCAUGCGAGGCUGUGACAACAUGUGUAGCUACUGCAUUGUUCCUUUCACCCGGGGCAGGGAGAGGAGUCGGCCUAUUGCCUCCAUUCUAGAGGAAGUGAAGAAGCUUUCUGAGCAGGGGCUGAAAGAAGUCACACUUCUUGGUCAGAAUGUUAAUAGUUUUCGGGACAAUUCAGAGGUCCAGUUCAACAAUGCAGUGCCUACCAAUCUCAGCCGUGGCUUUACCACCAACUAUAAAACCAAGCAAGGAGGACUUCGUUUUGCUCAUCUUCUGGAUCAGGUCUCCAGAGUAGAUCCUGAAAUGAGGAUCCGUUUUACCUCUCCCCAUCCCAAGGAUUUUCCCGAUGAGGUUCUGCAGCUGAUUCAUGAGAGAGAGAACAUCUGUAAACAGAUCCACCUGCCAGCCCAGAGUGGAAGCAGCCGUGUGUUGGAGGCCAUGCGGAGGGGAUAUUCAAGAGAAGCUUAUGUGGAGUUAGUUCACCAUGUUAGAGAAUCUAUUCCAGGUGUGAGCCUCAGCAGCGACUUCAUUGCUGGCUUUUGUGGUGAGACGGAGGAAGAUCACAUUCAGACAGUCUCUUUGCUCCGGGAAGUUCAGUACAACAUGGGCUUCCUCUUUGCCUACAGCAUGAGACAGAAGACACGGGCAUAUCAUAGGCUGAAGGACGAUGUUCCGAAAGAGGUAAAAUUAAGACGUUUGGAGGAACUUAUCACUGUCUUCCGAGAAGAAGCAACAAAAGCCAAUCAGACCUCUGUGGGCUGUACCCAGUUGGUGCUAGUGGAAGGGCUCAGUAAACGCUCUGCCACUGACCUGUGUGGCAGGAAUGAUGGAAACCUUAAGGUGAUCUUCCCUGAUGCAGAGAUGGAGGAUGUCAAUAACCCUGGGCUCAGGGUCAGAGCCCAGCCUGGGGACUACGUGCUGGUGAAGGUGAGGAGUCCUUUUGGGCUUUUGGCUUGCACUGUGAAAUGAGUGUUGGUUUGGAUAUUUGUGGUAAUAAAGUUUUUUCCUAGAGACACAUUUUAGUAAAAUAAAAAUCUCCUCUCAACCAGUACAAUGGAAUGGCACUUUGGAUUGGAUUUUAGACUGCUCCUUACUAAUGCCUUCUUAUUCUUCUUACCUAUUCUUCUGCCCUGGAAGGUUCUUUGUGGGAAUUCGGUGAGUUUGGAGCAUGCAGUGGCAUGUAGUUUCUUGCUGCAGAGAGGCCAGGAGGUGUAAGUGAUUUCGAAUCACCUCGGCCAGCUCUCAGACACUUAGGGGACAUGUUCUCUGCAGGACCACUCUGAGGGACUCCUCUGCAUAUUGCUGACCUGAGAAGAUGGCCUCAGAGCUGACUUGGGCAGUCCUCCCCAACAGGAAGGGGAGACAUUGCUGGCCACUGAGGAAAGAGGUCAUGAAGGUGGAGAUAAGCUGCAAGGGGCGAAGCAACUUUAUGUCAGUGGAAAACGUGUCUCUUUAAAGCUGCUAUGUGAACAGCUUUUACAGUCAUUAAAUUUACCUAAACUAAAGUUAA
Molecule: RNA transcript, 2428 nt
Organism: Pongo pygmaeus (Bornean orangutan)
Lineage: Eukaryota; Metazoa; Chordata; Mammalia; Primates; Hominidae
Gene: CDK5RAP1
Gene name: CDK5RAP1 mitochondrial tRNA methylthiotransferase
Exons: 14
Source: RefSeq, a predicted model, not a curated record